This 254-nucleotide unclassified non-coding RNA is filed under the name uncultured Parcubacteria group bacterium. RNAcentral's name for it is "contains 16S-23S intergenic spacer region". It matches the Rfam family "Bacterial small subunit ribosomal RNA", at positions 524 to 776 of the family's 1533-position model. The record is from RNAcentral.
UACGAAGGCCCCGAGCGUUAAUCGAAAUUAUUGGGCGUAAAGGGUCCGCAGGCGGAAUAAUAAGUCUGCUGUUAAAUCCGAGGGCUUAACCCUCCGGGCAGCAGUGGAUACUGUUAUUCUUGAGGCGGGUAGAGGUAAGCGGAACUCCUGGUGAAGCGGUGAAAUGCGUUGAUAUCAGGGGGAACACCAAUUGCGAAGGCAGCUUACUGGACCUGUCCUGACGCUCAUGGACGACAGCGUGGGGAGCGAAGCGG